RNAcentral lists this ribosomal RNA (751 nucleotides) under uncultured Lachnospiraceae bacterium. Its description in RNAcentral is "bacterial SSU rRNA". It matches the Rfam family "Bacterial small subunit ribosomal RNA", at positions 28 to 776 of the family's 1533-position model. The record is from RNAcentral. Lineage: Bacteria; Bacillati; Bacillota; Clostridia; Lachnospirales; Lachnospiraceae.
GAUGAACGCUGGCGGCGUGCUUAACACAUGCAAGUCGAACGAAGCACUCUAUUUGAUUUUCUUCGGAAAUGAAGAUUUUGUGACUGAGUGGCGGACGGGUGAGUAACGCGUGGGUAACCUGCCUCAUACAGGGGGAUAACAGUUGGAAACGACUGCUAAUACCGCAUAAGCGCACAGGAUUGCAUGAUCCGGUGUGAAAAACUCCGGUGGUAUGAGAUGGACCCGCGUCUGAUUAGCCAGUUGGCAGGGUAACGGCCUACCAAAGCGACGAUCAGUAGCCGGCCUGAGAGGGUGACCGGCCACAUUGGGACUGAGACACGGCCCAAACUCCUACGGGAGGCAGCAGUGGGGAAUAUUGCACAAUGGGGGAAACCCUGAUGCAGCGACGCCGCGUGAGCGAAGAAGUAUUUCGGUAUGUAAAGCUCUAUCAGCAGGGAAGAAGAAUGACGGUACCUGACUAAGAAGCACCGGCUAAAUACGUGCCAGCAGCCGCGGUAAUACGUAUGGUGCAAGCGUUAUCCGGAUUUACUGGGUGUAAAGGGAGCGCAGGCGGUGCGGCAAGUCUGAUGUGAAAGCCCGGGGCUCAACCCCGGUACUGCAUUGGAAACUGUCGUACUAGAGUAUCGGAGGGGUAAGUGGAAUUCCUAGUGUAGCGGUGAAAUGCGUAGAUAUUAGGAGGAACACCAGUGGCGAAGGCGGCUUACUGGACGAUAACUGACGCUGAGGCUCGAAAGCGUGGGGAGCAAACAGG